CGCAGCCGCGGUAAUUCCAGCUCCAAUAGCGUAUAUUAAAGUUGUUGCAGUUAAAAAGCUCGUAGUUGAAUUUCGGGAUCUGUCUAUCGGUCGGGCUUUAUUGUCCGCACUGAUUUGAUGGAUUCUUACCUUCUGAAUAACCAUCAUGCCAUUAAUUUGGUGCGUUGGGGAAGCAGAGCUAUUACCUUGAAAAAUUAGAGUGCUUAAAGCAGGCUAGCGCUUGAAUAGAUUAGCAUGGAAUAAUAAAAUAGGACGGCAUGGUUCUAUUUUGUUGGUUUCUAGGAUCACCGUAAUGAUUAAUAGGGAUAGUUGGGGGCAUUAGUAUUCAAUUGUCAGAGGUGAGAUUCUUGGAUUUAUUGAAGACUAACUACUGCGAAAGCAUUUGCCAAGGAUGUUUUCAUUAAUCAAGAACGAAAGUUAGGGGAUCGAAGACGAUCAGAUACCGUCGUA
RNAcentral lists this ribosomal RNA (450 nucleotides) under uncultured Acaulospora. RNAcentral describes it as "SSU rRNA". It matches the Rfam family "Eukaryotic small subunit ribosomal RNA", at positions 569 to 1022 of the family's 1831-position model. Lineage: Eukaryota; Fungi; Glomeromycota; Glomeromycetes; Diversisporales; Acaulosporaceae. The record is from RNAcentral.